UUUUGAACAAAACAAUUUAAUUUUCUUGAAUAAAGCUUUUCCUGAUGAUGACCAUGGAAACAGGUCGAAACGUCGAAAUGCAAAUUAGCUUUUACUUCUAAGUUAAUUCAAAACCAGUGGCAUAUUACCCCAG
This is a long non-coding RNA of Bradysia coprophila, 133 nucleotides long. NCBI's taxonomy places the organism in Eukaryota, Metazoa, Arthropoda, Insecta, Diptera, Sciaridae. The record is from RefSeq and is a predicted model, not a curated record.